Molecule: ribosomal RNA, 875 nt
Filed under: uncultured Bacteroidota bacterium
Lineage: Bacteria; Pseudomonadati; Bacteroidota
Description: bacterial SSU rRNA
Rfam family: Bacterial small subunit ribosomal RNA
Source: RNAcentral
ACACAUGCAAGUCGAGGGGAAACGACAUCGAAAGCUUGCUUUUGAUGGGCGUCGACCGGCGCACGGGUGAGUAACGCGUAUCCAACCUGCCCAUCACUUGGGGAUAACCUUGCGAAAGUAAGACUAAUACCCAAUGACGUCUCUAGAAGACAUCUGAAAGAGAUUAAAGAUUUAUCGGUGAUGGAUGGGGAUGCGUCUGAUUAGCUUGUUGGCGGGGUAACGGCCCACCAAGGCAACGAUCAGUAGGGGUUCUGAGAGGAAGGUCCCCCACAUUGGAACUGAGACACGGUCCAAACUCCUACGGGAGGCAGCAGUGAGGAAUAUUGGUCAAUGGGCGAGAGCCUGAACCAGCCAAGUAGCGUGCAGGAUGACGGCCCUAUGGGUUGUAAACUGCUUUUAUAAGGGAAUAAAGUGAGUCUCGUGAGACUUUUUGCAUGUACCUUAUGAAUAAGGACCGGCUAAUUCCGUGCCAGCAGCCGCGGUAAUACGGAAGGUCCGGGCGUUAUCCGGAUUUAUUGGGUUUAAAGGGAGCGUAGGCCGGAGAUUAAGCGUGUUGUGAAAUGUAGACGCUCAACGUCUGCACUGCAGCGCGAACUGGUUUCCUUGAGUACGCACAAAGUGGGCGGAAUUCGUGGUGUAGCGGUGAAAUGCUUAGAUAUCACGAAGAACUCCGAUUGCGAAGGCAGCUCACUGGAGCGCAACUGACGCUGAAGCUCGAAAGUGCGGGUAUCGAACAGGAUUAGAUACCCUGGUAGUCCGCACGGUAAACGAUGGAUGCCCGCUGUUGGUCUGAAUAGGUCAGCGGCCAAGCGAAAGCAUUAAGCAUCCCACCUGGGGAGUACGCCGGCAACGGUGCAACUCAAAUGAAUUGACGG